Molecule: long non-coding RNA, 388 nt
Filed under: Rattus norvegicus (Norway rat)
Lineage: Eukaryota; Metazoa; Chordata; Mammalia; Rodentia; Muridae
Description: long non-coding RNA NONRATT026832
Source: RNAcentral
AAAUAAAAACCCUCUUAAAGCCUGGGAGAGUCGGGAGAUGGGCUCAAGGCUCAGUCCUGACACAGAGCCCAAGAAUAGCUGGAGUCCUGUGAGGAGGAAGGAGGAGUACUCCCUGUGAAUAUGGCGUUUGUGUCUCCACGGGGCAUCUUCCUACCUUUAGCGUGCAUGCAGUGUACCUAGGGGUGGGAGUCCUGGUCUCUCUCACCCUGCUAUAUCUUGAUUCAGUGACCAAGACAAACCUGUCUGUGCAUGAGGACAAAAACCGGGUGCCGUUUGUCAAGGGUUGUACCGAACGCUUUGUGUCCAGCCCAGAGGAGAUUCUGGAUGUGAUUGAUGAGGGGAAGUCGAACCGUCACGUUGCCGUCACCAACAUGAAUGAGCACAGCUC